This is a small nucleolar RNA of Salvia miltiorrhiza (redroot sage), 143 nucleotides long. RefSeq annotates it as small nucleolar RNA snoR136. The transcript has a single exon. Lineage: Eukaryota; Viridiplantae; Streptophyta; Magnoliopsida; Lamiales; Lamiaceae. The record is from RefSeq and is a predicted model, not a curated record.
CUGCUUUGCUUGUAUUUUGUAUCUUGUCAUACGAAACACAAGUUUGUGUGGCAUUUACAACAAGUGAAGCUAUAUAAACAAGUUCCCCUCGCUAUCCGGUGAUGCUCCUUUCUAGUUCAUUUGGACGUUGGCGAACGACAUUC